Non-coding RNA from Thamnophis sirtalis, 2006 nucleotides. NCBI's taxonomy places the organism in Eukaryota, Metazoa, Chordata, Lepidosauria, Squamata, Natricidae. The record is from RefSeq and is a predicted model, not a curated record.
UAUGUCUGUGUAUAUAUUCCAUCUAAGAAUGUUUUGCCUUUUUUUGCAGCAAGGAUAAAAGAGGCAGUCAACCAAAUGGAUGCAGCUAUCUAGCUUGACAAUACUAUAUGCCAUUCUACUUUUUAAGUUUUUAAAACAGUAUUUGUUUGUUUACAGAUUUAAAUGACCAUCUAUAUUGUGCCAGAUAGCUCUCAACAGAAGACAUUCGAGACCAUCAUUUCACAGUAUGUGAUUGGAAAAAAUGUAGGCAGAUUACAGCUCCGUGGCAGCACUUUGUGAAAGAAAGAACGAAAUAAAGGAAGGAAGGAAGAAAGGAAGGAAAGAAUAGAAAACAUUAUUCUGCUUUGCUUUGAUGGAUUAAAAUAAAUGAUAAAUAGAAAAAAAGCUACACUGACAAUGCACAGAAUGUUGGGGAAAAUUAUGCAAACAGGUUUGGGCCUCUGCUUGUAUGUUCUUCCAACACAGCAAAACAGGACCAGUUUUGGUAGAAAGGACCAAGGGAAGAAGCCAUAAGCUAGAACCGAGUUUGAAAAAUGAGCCAGAUUUCGCUGAGGGAGAAUAAAAAUGUCCUCCAAUAUAUCCAUUUGGGAGAGGACAUUGGAAAAGGAUUGAGAGUACUUGUGACUACAAGGACACAGAAUCAUCUUAAGGCAGAAGAAAGAGUUUUAAAACACCAAAGAAUUAGCCUCUGCAAUUCUAGGAGACAAAGGGGUAUUAAAUAACAGGUAUCACAGAUAGUGCACACCCUAAAAGCAAAAGAACUGUUGAAUGUCAAGGAAAGCUAUGACCUCAUAAAAUUACAAUCUCAUAAAUUUAGUACAGAAAUUGGGCAAUCAAUUCAAGAUAAUCUUCACCAAUGUAACCCGAACAAGCAAAUAACAAAAGAAGAAAUUGUAUAUGAAAAGCUAUGGACCAGACUUUCCGACUUCUAUAUACUUUAAAUUAUACAAAUCUGACAUAAUUGCAUCCCUGUAAGAACCCAACAUACAAUUUUGUCAACAAAUUCAGACAUACCAAAGAUGGGGCCAAAUAUUCAUUAAUUGACGUUUACAGUGCCUCAUGAAAAAUGAAGAGUUAAUAACUGAAGAAGAUGAAAUCAUUCAAUGCCAUUGUGGUCUUCCCAUCCAGCGAUUCAAAACAGGUGCAGGAAUUUAUUGCACCACUCCUAUAUAGCACACCAAUCCCUAACAAGUAAUAUAAAUAUUGAAAUUCCAAGAUGUAUUGAACUUAUAGACAUGGGCCUUAUCACAUGCUUGCAGUUUGACAUGUGAGUAUACAAAUAUUGUGAACCAUCAGUGGGAUCAACCAUCUUCAGAUUCUUAGUAGAAAUAGUGAUACAAUGUAUAGGAAGUAGCAAUAUUCUUAUGCAUAUCACCCAAAACAUGGAUUUUUUUAUGUGGAUAUUUUUGUCAUAAUCAAGAAAGAACAAUUAAACAAUACACACAAGACAAUCCAUUAACAUCUUUGAUGAAAUCAAAUUCAGAACAGUAAAAUAGAACAAUAACAAACUACCCUCCCUGGAUGUUACCAUCAGCAAAGAAAACAGUGACAAAUUUCCAAAUCAGGUGCAUCAUAAAGCAACACAUGCUAAUCAAGUAUUCAACUACAACAACAAUCAUACAGGACACAAUAAGAAUCAUAUUCGGACAAGCAAAAUUGCUAAUAUUAAAUACCCAGGACUACAAAAAAAUAUAAAAAGAUUAUAUAACCUUCCAAUGCAGUGGAGAUCCUCACAAUCAACUAUUAGCCCUACAAGAUAGAUCAAGCCAUAAAGUCACUUUCACAGGAUGUCUACAGUUUUUAUUGAGAUUGGCUAUAGUAACAGAAACUUACAAGUCUGAUAUACUGAUAUAGUAUAUGAUAUAGUAUAUUAUACAGUAUAAACUAUAUACUGCUAUGAUUCCCCACUCAACUCAUUUCCCUUUUCAUAUUCUAUUCCUCUUUAAUUUUAGAUUUACAUUAGAUUUUAGGCACUCCCAAUUUGAGAGUGCCUAAAAUCUAAUGUA